Molecule: ribosomal RNA, 401 nt
Filed under: uncultured bacterium
Lineage: Bacteria
Description: bacterial SSU rRNA
Rfam family: Bacterial small subunit ribosomal RNA
Source: RNAcentral
AGCGAACGUUAGCGGCGCGCCUAACACAUGCAAGUCGCACGAGAAAGGGAGCAAUCCCCGGUACAGUGGCGCACGGGUGAGUAACACGUAGAUGACCUUUCCUGGAGUGGUGGAUAACCUGCCGAAAGGCGGGCUAAUACAGCAUGGGACCACAUUGGUUUUGACCGAGUGGUGUAAGCGGGCCUCUGUUCACAAGCUCGCGCUCUGGGAUGGGUCUGCGUCCCAUCAGCUAGUUGGUGAGGUAAUGGCUCACCAAGGCAUCGACGGGUAGCUGGUCUGAGAGGAUGACCAGCCACACUGGAACUGAGACACGGUCCAGACUCCUACGGGAGGCAGCAGUGGGGAAUCUUGCGCAAUGGGCGAAAGCCUGACGCAGCGACGCCGCGUGGGUGAUGAAGGCC